AGUGAACGCUGGCGGUAGGCCUAACACAUGCAAGUCGAACGGCAGCACAGUAAGAGCUUGCUCUUACGGGUGGCGGGUGGCGGACGGGUGAGGAAUACAUCGGAAUCUACUUUUUCGUGGGGGAUAACGUAGGGAAACUUACGCUAAUACCGCAUACGACCUACGGGUGAAAGCAGGGGAUCUUCGGACCUUGCGCGAUUGAAUGAGCCGAUGUCGGAUUAGCUAGUUGACGGGGUAAAGGCCCACCAAGGCGACGAUCCGUAGCUGGUCUGAGAGGAUGAUCAGCCACACUGGAACUGAGACACGGUCCAGACUCCUACGGGAGGCAGCAGUGGGGAAUAUUGGACAAUGGGGGCAAGCCUGAUCCAGCCAUACCGCGUGGGUGAAGAAGGCCUUCGGGUUGUAAAGCCGUUUUGUUGGGAAAGAAAAGCAGCAGGUUAAUACCCCGCUGUUCUGACGGUACCCAAAGAAUAAGCACCGGCUAACUUCGUG
This 492-nucleotide ribosomal RNA is filed under the name uncultured bacterium. Its description in RNAcentral is "partial 16S ribosomal RNA". It matches the Rfam family "Bacterial small subunit ribosomal RNA", at positions 29 to 507 of the family's 1533-position model. The record is from RNAcentral.